UUCAUGUAUAAAAAGUUUAAUAUUCCAUAAAAUACAUUUAAUAUUUAAGUAUCUACACAAAAAUAGGUUUCAAAUAAGGUACAAGAACAUUCAUAGAACAUUAAACACCUCAUAAAGCAGACAGAACAGAUCCAACAACAGAUCUGAGGUCGUUGUAAUGCGAGAUACGGUUUAAUACGACUUUAAAUAAAAUCCAUAAGGAUAAAAUGAAAAAAGAAAUCCUUUGAUGUAAUUGGCCUAGCACGAGGCAGAAUUUCUAAUACCGUGAGGCACCGACUGUAUACUACUGUGAUAUAUAAUGCGAUUCUUAGUGAGCAUAUGUAACAGUGUUAGGGAAAUAGCUACUUAGGGUGCUGGACAAUCUUUUGUAUGAGGAAAUCAGGGUGUCCUCCUAUAAAAUAUUUGGUUUAUGCAACCAGGCCACUUAAAAAGGCUUCCUUGCAAUUUACUAACUACAUAUAACUGCAGUGCAAAGAUGCUGCUUCUUCAAGGACAUGACUCUCUAUGCAAGCAUACCUUUGAAUCAGUCAGCAUUCUGAUGUUGCCUAGAGACAGUGACUUAUUGGGCUUUUUUCUUCUCAAAGAAAAAUGGGCUGAUGUCAUAAAAAAAAUAUUCUCAUUUUAAGAGCACACAGCAAUACUGCUAAUUUUCAUUAUCUGUUUGGAAUUAUUCAAAGCUGAAUAAAAAUGGCAAACUGAGGCAGAACCAGGCAAAUUAUAGACAACAAGAAACAAGAAUCUCAGUACCAAAAUGCCAAAUUACAACCAGUCCUGAUUGUCAAGCCAGUAUACAAUUAUGCAGUACAUAAUACAGUACACAUUUGAUGGUGUAAUAAUAAUUCAGUCAUUGGUAAUAAUGUGGAGGUUAUGGCCAUAUAUAAAAAAAGAGCAUGUGAAAGCAUACAGUAGUUUAGAAUAAAACUGAUUGUCUUUAAAAUGCCCAUUUACAACAUAAAAAUCAUUGUAUCCAUUGUGCAUUUGGGAUAGAAACACUUUUCCAAAGCGCUUACUUUUAUGUUGUGGUCCUGCUACUGUUUACCAUCAUGCAUCCACCCACUUCCCACACAGAUCCUCACCUGACACCUCUAAUACAAACAAAGCCUGUCUGACUGCUCAUCAGUCACAUUAACAAACUACCCAGACAUGUAGUGUACACACAGGAGGAGACUGACUAGAAAAACUCAACUCUGUGAUACGUACAUGGCUUUAAAUCUAGAUACCAGUUCAGCUCAGGUUAGCAGUUUUGGUUGUGUCUCAUAGUCCUUAAGCAAACUGAGAUGAAAUUUAUACCAGCAUGACUGGACCCAUCAUUUUCCUAAACCAAAAAAAGUGAUCUCUGGAAACCUACGUUUCAUCAAUUUGGUAAAUCCAUAAACUCAAAUUCAGUGGCUGUUUAGAAUACAGACUCUGAAGUUGAGUUGCAAACUCUAUCAAAGCUCAAAAGUUCCACCAGUUGUAGGUGUGGUUGUCCUUUUGCUCACAUUCUAUGCUGGAAAAUCCCAAGCAUCACAAAAUGAAUGUGGUCAAGGUUCAGGGUGGGACGGGGCCCAUCAAUGCCAGUUGUCACUGGCAGAACCACUUCUGGAAAUGGCACGGAGAGGACUGCGGGACACCGACCCCCUCUUCUUCCAACGGACUGUAACACAAAAUCCAAAACAAAAGAGUUACAACUUUUAAACAGAAAAAUAGAACACUGAG
Long non-coding RNA from Cyprinus carpio carpio, 1698 nucleotides. The record is from Ensembl. Lineage: Eukaryota; Metazoa; Chordata; Actinopteri; Cypriniformes; Cyprinidae.